GUAGAUAGCUGACCUCAUCGAGGACUACCGUUGGGUUUGCAUUCUUCAAAUUGUAGGUUUAUAGUCCUCUCUACUUUUGUUUAUUCGGGAGCCCACUUAUUAUUGUAAAUUAAAUUAAAUACUUUGACUUACUAUAUUACAGUAUGUAUGAAUUUAUUUAACUUUUACGCUAUAAAAAAAUUAUUUACGUAUAACUCCAAAAAUAUUGUUUUAUAAGAAAACAGAAUAUUUUACUUAAUAUUUCUUUUAUUUUCUUAUUAUAUCCAAAUAAUCGCAAAUUCGUUUUAAAUGAAGAUUUUAGACUUUUAAACUCAUUUUGAUUAUGAAUUAUGUGUUUUAUACUUGUAUAUUACAUUUUAGCCGAUUUCGAAAUUUUUAGGAAAAAAUGACUAAAAUACUCCUGUGAGAUGGAAAUUAUUAUUUUAUUUGUUUUGAGUUGGAAAUAGCUUAAAAUCUUCUAGAACAUGAUUUUCGGUAACGGUUACUCACAAGGGAAAUGAGAUACUGAUAUUAAGCCUUGCGGGGUCUCGGUUGGCAUUCCGAAAAAUGAGUGUCUAUCGGGAUACCGCGACGAUUGUCACGGGCUCCAGGGGAGUACCGGGUCGUGACAUAUUCUUCAUUGGCCGAAUUUUCUAGGGAGGAUAUUGUGGCUGAAAUUGAUGAUAUUUCAUGAUAUUUUGGUGAUAUUUGAUGUUUGGUGAGGCUAGAAAUUAAAUGAGAAAUUUUGGUGUGAAAAUCCAAAUUUUUGCUCAAUGUAUAGACAUGUGUGAUUAUUGACCCGGGACUGAUAAAUUGAAUCUCAUUCAUAGUCACUGAGGUAAUUUAGGUAUAAUUGGAGUGUAGAAAGUGAGAAGAAUUGAUUUGGAGUUAAAUUGGAGAUUUUAGCCGAUUAGAUCGAGCAUAGUGUGACUUAGGUCGAAUAUCACAUUUAAGCGAUUAAUCGGACAUUUCACAUUCCAUAUCAUGCAUUAGUAGUCUAAAUUAGUUUAAAUUCAAUUUAGUACCAAUGAAGUAAAUUUCUCGAUUUUGUACUGUGUCAAGGUGGUGAGUCCUUCGAUAAAGGCAAGGGAAUUGCAUCCGAGGACCAGUAAUUUGAGUACUUUGAAAAUCCCUACUCUAGACAUUGUGAGUAACCUUAUCAUCAUUUUAAUUAUCUAAAGUAUGUUUUUAUUUGGUUUUGGUGAAAUUUUAUGAAAUUGAGUUAAAUAGCUAAUUUUAGGUUUUAUAAACAAAAAUGAGUUUAAAUGAAAAUAUUUAAUAAAUUGUCUUAAAAGGAAAUAACGAUUUUGAAAAUAGAGUAAUUAGAGACCACUGAGACGUUGUAAGUUUGAGAUUGAAUUGAUGGCUUACGUUAUUGUGUUAGCAUGACUGGCUGGGCUGUGUUUUAUGAAUUGUAUGAAUUGUUUUAUUUUACCCUUGCAGGCUGGGUAGUAAUAUAUUAGCCCCGUCAUGCUGUCAAAAUUUUAUUGUAUGGUGGGUUUAACCUGCUACAGGGGGCAGGUUUUCUGUGGACCAGCCUAUUAGAGGGGCACGAAAUUCCGAUAUAUUUUACCUCGGUUGGAGAGGCGAGUAGGGUAACUCCCGAGGUAUAACUUUUAGAGUUCACUUCACGCCAAACCACCAUGUGAGGGGGAACUCAGUCAACGCUAAGGAACCGCUAUGUUUUUAAAAUAAAAACAUGAUUUAUACAUACAUAACUUUUUAAUAGCCUCGGCGGACUCAGUUGGGAUAGCCCUCGGUCAAGGUAUCCCUGAUAACUGAGUAUGAUAAUGAUUUUGGCAUCAGCCAAGUUUUAAGAUACUGAUAAGUCAUGUUAAUGUUUUUAAAUGAAAUGAAUAUUUAUGUUAUGAAAAACAUAUUUGGAUGAAAUGUUUUAAUAGUCUCCUUUUACUCGACUUUAGAUAUUUUGAGUGAUGUUUGUUUAUUCACUGGGAUUUUAUAAUCUCACCAUCCUCUUUUCCAUCCAUCACAGGCUCAGAAUAGAUUAUAGAUAAUUGAUAUCGUCGAGGACUACGGUUGGACGUGCCACAUCCAAAAAUUGUAGGUUCAUUUCUUUUGAUACUUUUAGUUAUUCGUGGGCCCACGUGUCACUGUAAAUUUG
Molecule: long non-coding RNA, 2101 nt
Filed under: Theobroma cacao (cacao)
Lineage: Eukaryota; Viridiplantae; Streptophyta; Magnoliopsida; Malvales; Malvaceae
Description: long non-coding RNA (TCAC_LNC006313)
Source: RNAcentral